Limulus polyphemus (Atlantic horseshoe crab) is the source of this 1372-nucleotide long non-coding RNA. RefSeq lists it as uncharacterized. The record is from RefSeq and is a predicted model, not a curated record. NCBI's taxonomy places the organism in Eukaryota, Metazoa, Arthropoda, Merostomata, Xiphosura, Limulidae. The transcript has 2 exons.
GUAUAUAUAUGGAAUAUGUAUGCUUCAUAUAUAUACCAUUUGGUCACUGUAUUUUUUUUACAUUUUGUUUAACCAUUCAGUGAAUGACAUCAUAAUAAUGUUCUUGCUAGAAUAAUGUUAUUGGAAGAAAAAUUGAUAGUAUCAACUGCCACACAGCAUAACAGCCAAAUACUGUUCUUGGGACUUUCAAGGUUUGGAAUUUAUUUCUCUACAAGACCUUAUGAUUCUUUUGACCAAUAUAUGUACAAUAUAUGCAGAUCCAGUUGAAAGUUAUUAAAGCAUUUUUGGUCAUUUUAUCCAGAUUUUUUAAACAUUAUAUUAUUAAUAUACAUUGUUAUCUCACCUUUUCUUUAGGUCUCCAUGGUUUCAGUGUAUUCCUCUUCAUAGUGGUAAAUAAAGUGAAUGGUUUAUGCUUUCUUGGGUGGGACCAUGGUCACCACCAGUCAUGAAUGUUUCCACCAAUAAAUAUCCAUGUGGACAAUGUGGAAAAGUUUUUACUAUGACAAAGUACCUCAGACAGCAUGAACAGUGUCAUAACAACAAAGUCUACAGAUGCCCUUACUGUUUUUUGGUUAUUAAGUGGAAACAUUAUGUAGAUGUACACGUGAAACGAUAUUGCCCUAACAAACCAAAGAAUAAAACUUAAGGAUGAUUUUCUGAUUCAUUUUAAUUCAAAGGUACAGAAAAUGUUCAAGUCGGCCCCUGACUCCCUGUUUUUUUUACAUUUCAUGCAGAAAACCUCACUUGAUAAGUCAUAAAAACUGAACUUCAGUAGUGUGGAAAUGUUGUAUUGAACCAUGAAAAGUACACUAAGGUUACAGGGUUCUUGGAAGAAAUCAAAAUUAAACUAAUAAAGUCUGAUUUAUCAAGUUUAUGAUAGAUGAUGCAAUACAUUACAUGUCAAAAUCUUUGUGUAAGGCAUUGAUAUAAGGUUGUCUGGAUAAAGAAUAAUCUUUUGUAUUAAAUCUUUUGCUUAUGCUGUCACUUGUAACUUAACGUCUUAAAUAUUUCAUACAGAAUGCCUUGUAUUUCUAACAAGUCUUCCACAUCUGCAUUGUCCUUGAAGUUUCCAGAACCUUUUUGACCUUAGAGUUGUCAAAUAUCAUUACUGAUAUUUUUGAGAUGAUUAAGUGUAAUUUAAUAAUCUUUAUAUUGAAUAAUUCAGUGUAUGCUUAUUAGUUUAGUAUGGUUAUUUGUAAUAAAAAAUAGAUUAUAAAAAUAUAGAUAACUGCAUCAAGUAAACUUGGAUUGAAAUUGUAAAGUGUUUCACUGUAAUAAUUUGGAGAUUCAAAAAGAUGUAUCUAGAAUAUUACAACCAUUACUUCAAGAAAUAAAUUUUAUUAUUGGAGCAUUUUUGAAAUUCUUACUGUGA